GGUAUAACGCCGGAUACGAACGGAUAACUCUGAUGAUGUUAAAUAUGAGAUUAAACCUCUUAUACCU
This 67-nucleotide transfer RNA is filed under the name Laetmonice producta. Its description in RNAcentral is "tRNA-Ile". Lineage: Eukaryota; Metazoa; Annelida; Polychaeta; Phyllodocida; Aphroditidae. The record is from RNAcentral.